GCCAGGUGUGGUGGCGUGCACCUGUAAUCCCAGCUACUUGGGAGGCUGAGGCAGGAGAAUCACUUGAACCCAGGAGGCAGAGGUUGCAGUGAGCCAAGAUCAUGCCACUGCACUCCAGCCUGGGUGACAGAGUGAGAUUCUGUCUCAA
Molecule: non-coding RNA, 148 nt
Organism: Gorilla gorilla gorilla (western lowland gorilla)
Lineage: Eukaryota; Metazoa; Chordata; Mammalia; Primates; Hominidae
Rfam family: Metazoan signal recognition particle RNA
About the family: The signal recognition particle (SRP) is a universally conserved ribonucleoprotein. It is involved in the co-translational targeting of proteins to membranes.
Source: Rfam